GCUGAUACUAUUUGCUUUCAGCUCAAUUAUAACCACUAUGUUGAAAAUUAGCCAUGUUUUUUUGUGAACUUUUGGAAUCGUGGUUUUGAAUUUGGAUACUGAUUCAAUUGGUCCAAUAUACUCUGUAAGUGUUCGAUUUUGUGAGCGAAAUUGCUUUUGAGUUUAUUUGCUUUGAUAUGUGUAUAUGCAUGUUACUUGAUGAACUAGCUGCUGAUACAUACUUUGAGAUGGUUUUUCUUUUUAAAAUGUCGUGUCAAUUAAGGCACGUCCUUUCUGGAUAUGUUGCAAAUAAACCAAUUAAAAAGCGAAAGAAAUCAAUUUGUUUAUUUAGGAACUUCUCUUUCAAGGUAGCCAUUGUGGAAUCAUAGAUGCCUAUUGUGCAACUGCUAGAAAAGGGGUAAGACAUGAGAAAUAUAGGGUUCUGGUGCUUUGUUAUGACCUUUGCCCUAGAGGAAGAUUCACAAGGUUUAAAUGUCACUCAUGUCAAGUAGCAAGGACUUCUGAGCUAGAUAUUUCUUUGUGUUUUUACCUGUCAGAAAAGUAUAAUAGUAUACUUCUCUCUGUUUUUCUAUUCUUCUGAGCUAGAUAUUUCUUUGUGUUUUACCUGUCAGAAAAGUAUAAUAGUAUACUUCUCUCCGUUUUACUUUAUUUUACCGAUAUUGGUCUCUUCAUGGUCAUGGAUAUAUGAGGUAGCAUAACUCUUAAGGAAAAGGGAAGGCAAUGAAUUAGUUUGAUUUCUGUUUUAUAACUUUAUAUUAGCCAUUUUUCAUUCCUCUUAACCAAUUUGGAUGUAUUAGAAGAUUGAGUGGGUUGAGGGCCUUGUGGCGAGCUCGCUUUUCUGCAUAUUACCUCCUUGAUAACAAUGGCAUGUCUAACCUUUAACAAAAACUGCAUUUAGUCCACCUUCCUUAUGCUGGUAUUUGCAUUUCCUCAUGAGUGUUGGACCUCUGCUUUGUUGUAUAUUAGCUUAAAAA
This 974-nucleotide long non-coding RNA is filed under the name Nicotiana benthamiana. RNAcentral's name for it is "long non-coding RNA (NBEN_LNC010766)". The record is from RNAcentral. Lineage: Eukaryota; Viridiplantae; Streptophyta; Magnoliopsida; Solanales; Solanaceae.